UGACGGGCGCGUGAUGGCGGCGGGCGGAGCGCGGCCGCUGUGACGGCGCCAAGAUGGCGGCGCUGCGGGAUGUGGACUUCGCGGCGUUGCAGAUCCUGCUGAAGGCGCCGUCGAAGGACGCUGUGCGGCAGCUGUGCCAGGAGUGCUUCUCUAGCCCGCCCGCCGCGCUCGGCCCGCUGGCGCAGCGCGCCGGCCCCGGGCUCGCCGUCAGCGCCGAGGAAGCGGAGCAGCUGGUGUCUGCUUUGCACAACCUCACCAGGCACGUGGUGUACCGCGGCUUGACCAGGGCAGAAGACAUCCUCUGUCUCUUCCCAGAAAACUUCCACCAAAACCUGAAAAACCUCUUGACUAAGAUAAUCUUGGAGAAUAUCUCUGCUUGGAGGAAUGAAGCACAAGCCAGUCAGAUCUCCCUGCCUCGGCUGGUGGACAUGGACUGGAGGGUGGACAUCAAGACAUCUUCGGACAGCAUUGUAAGAAUGGCAGUCCCUACCUGCCUGCUGCAGUUAAAGAUUCAGGAAGAUGCUGCCUUAUGUGGAAAUAAUCCUGUUGUUUCUGCACUGACUGUGGAACUGAGCAAAGAAACCCUGGACACUAUGUUAGAAGGUCUGGGAAGGAUUCGGGACCAACUUUCUGCUGUUGCAAACAAAUGAAUGCUCAAGGGCAUGGAUUCUAGCAGCAAGGAAGGGAAGUAUUCUCUACCUACGGCUGUCAGAAGUUGCAGCCUAGUGUAACACGUUGUCUAUUUCAGCAAAACAAAACUAAAGAGAUUUCUUUCUUGAAUUAAUGAGAUAGCUUUUGAAAGGCUAACACUCAAAUACUCAUUUGGAUGGAAGCCAAAAAAUUGUUUCCUAUUGUGUUGUUGAACAAAAGCUGUUCACUAUUUCAGAAGAGGAUUUGAGGGCUGAGAGCCUGGCUUAAUCACAAGGGUCAUAACUGGAAACAGCAAAUAGCUGCAGCCAAUGAAGCAAGUUCUAUCUCUGUCCUGAAAUGAGAAUCUGAAAGCCUCAAGCUGGGUAAUGGGCUGCCUUCCAACAAAGGGAGGGUGCUUCUCUCUGGGAUGUGCAUGUACUGAGGUGCCUGCUGGAUGUAGCACUCUCUCCCUCUCAGUGAAGCACAGCUAUGCUGCAGAUUGUUAUUACAGGAUGAUGCACUGAAAUAGGGCAGUUAUGUUACAACACAUUCCCUUCUGAUCAGCUUCACAGCACCAUUUGCAAAAUGACUGUUCUGAACAUCUUUAGAAGGAACUAAUUUCCUCCUUCUGUUUGUAAAGAAAAAAAGGAGUUCAGGUAAUUCAUGUGUGGGGUUUAUUGGACUCUGGGCUUUGUCUUUGCUGCAAAAACCAGGCUGGGAGAAUAAAGAAUUGAAGGCUGUUUUCUGUGCUGUAGGAAACCCCUCUGUGGCAAUAUGUGCCUAUACUUCUUCAAAGUGUUCUGUUGUUUGUGUAAAUUUUCAUUUAAUUAAAGAAUGAACUGCUAA
RNA transcript from Pyrgilauda ruficollis (rufous-necked snowfinch), 1476 nucleotides. It is a transcript of the gene named COMM domain containing 9, with no coding region annotated. The record is from RefSeq and is a predicted model, not a curated record. The transcript is spliced from 7 exons. Lineage: Eukaryota; Metazoa; Chordata; Aves; Passeriformes; Passeridae.